Molecule: long non-coding RNA, 1728 nt
Filed under: Vigna radiata
Lineage: Eukaryota; Viridiplantae; Streptophyta; Magnoliopsida; Fabales; Fabaceae
Description: long non-coding RNA (VRAD_LNC014022)
Source: RNAcentral
GCAAUGUGCAGAGUAUGAUCAGUCAGUAAGCACAGAAAUCUUUCUCUUUCAAAGAACCUCUUCAAAGAUAGAUCACCACGGUGGAGCAAAUUCUCAAAGAUCGUGAUCUAUAAAUCACAAAUGAAAGUGUUAGGUUAUCCAAGGUCUUUGUGAUCAACUAAGACACGUCUAUUUAUAGUUUUCUAUAAAUGAGACACUCUUGUCGCAACCGGAAAAUCGCGACGGGACGACGAUUGAAAAAGAAAAAGAGUUUUGAACAAGAGAUUGGGGAGUCGCCACCAUAGUUUAUUCUGGAAAAACUACGGAAAAACCAUAAAAUGAUAAAGCACGGUCCACGAAAAUUUAGGUUCUUGUGAUUUUGGUGAGGGUGAAGAUACUGGUUCAGUGUGUAAGUGGGGGACGAAUAGUUGAAGGUUCUUGUGCGUUUAGAAAGAAGAAGGAAAGAACAAACCGAUAAGAACAUUAUGGUGCCGGAGUAGCAGAGUAAAACAACAAUAUCAUGGAGAAGCAUAAACCCAUAUACAAAUCAAGACUAGCAAGCAGAACCCAAAUGCUAGCAAACACAGAAUCGCACGUAUCAGAAUGAAUAGUGACAGUAAGCUGUGAUCGUGAGACUUACCUCUGUGUUUUGAUUUUGAUUCUUUUUCUAUGGCCUGUAAUUUUGAAUCAAUGCUCCUUGAUUUCCUUUUUUGAAUGAAUUCCUUUUUUGAAUGUCUUGUAUCGUUUCCUUCUUGUGAGUGAAAAACCGUGAAUUGAUGGAUGAUGUAUGGCGUAUGAGGUAAAGGAAAUCCAGAAUGCUUAAGCUGAUGGUGAAGUGUUGGAGGUGAAUUGAGAGUGAGAGGAAAAAGUGGUUCAGGUUAGGAUGUUGGGAUCAUUUUUCUAAUGGGGUCCUUCUUCUCAUGAUAUUAGCCCCUGUUGUCUUCUUGUGUUCUCUGUUCUGAUGGUGCACUCCUGUGGGUUUUUUUUUAAUCUCAUAGUGAAGUCUUUUACAUGAAUCAUGUAUCCCUUUUUUUUCAACCAUGAAACUUGAUCCUCUCUUUUCCUUUCUCUCCUUUCUGAAUCAUCGGGGCAUAUCUCUUAGGAUUUCCCCUUUGUCUUUUUCUUUUUCUUGCGUUUAAAUUGAAUUCAUUAGGCAAAGUGAUUCAAAUUUCCUUUCCUCUUUGAUGUAAGAUUGUGGUUCUGCCCAAGGAUUAUGGUCUGUACACAGUGAGCAUUUUAUUGCAGGGGAAAUAGCCUUCUAAAUUAAGCAUGUUAUGAGCUGUGGUACGUUGGAGGGAAGAGAGCUCCAGAGAGCAGUCGUUGUCUUGUGUGUGACUGAGCACCAAUCUGCUAUACCUUUCUUUUUUUCUUCUUCUUCUUUUUUUUGGAUUUUUUUUUUUUUUUGUUUUUGUUAACGCUUAACAUAAAAACAAGAUUCAACUAAAUAAAAAGAAACUAACGUAAAAAGGAAAAAAUAAAUAAAUAAAAUAAAAUAAAAAAUUAAAAUUAAAAUAAAAAUAAAAAAUGAGAUAACUCCAAAUAACAAAAAAAGUAAAAUAAAAAUAAAAUAAAAACUAAUAUAAAAAUGAAAUUAAAUAAUACAAAACAAAAUUAAAAGAUUAAAAGACAUAAAUAAGAUAAAAUAAAGUGAAAAACAUAAACACGUCUUAUUUAGUCCGAACGAAAUUGGGUAUUGACACUCCUGUAGUCGAUUAAGCUACUAAUAAAGUCGGUUAUCCUCAAAUAGAC